This 499-nucleotide ribosomal RNA is filed under the name uncultured bacterium. RNAcentral describes it as "partial 16S ribosomal RNA". It matches the Rfam family "Bacterial small subunit ribosomal RNA", at positions 30 to 523 of the family's 1533-position model. The record is from RNAcentral.
AUUGAACGCUGGCGGCAUGCUUUACACAUGCAAGUCGAACGGUAACAGGGUGCUUGCACCGCUGACGAGUGGCGAACGGGUGAGUAAUGCGUCGGAACGUGCCGAGUAGUGGGGGAUAACGCAGCGAAAGUUGUGCUAAUACCGCAUACGUACUGAGGUAGAAAGUGGGGGACCUUCGGGCCUCACGCUAUUCGAGCGGCCGACGUCUGAUUAGCUAGUAGGUGAGGUAAAGGCUCACCUAGGCGACGAUCAGUAGCGGGUCUGAGAGGGUGAUCCGCCACACUGGGACUGAGACACGGCCCAGACUCCUACGGGAGGCAGCAGUGGGGAAUUUUGGACAAUGGGCGAAAGCCUGAUCCAGCCAUGCCGCGUGUCUGAAGAAGGCCUUAGGGUUGUAAAGCACCUUCAAUUGGAAGGAAAACCUCGAAGCUAAUACCUUCGAGUUUGACAUUACCUUUAGAAGAAGCACCGGCUAACUCCGUGCCAGCAGCCGCGGUAA